AAUCAACGCUGGCGGCGCGCCUAACACAUGCAAGUCGAACGAGAAAGCCGCAAGGCAAGUAAAGUGGCGCACGGGUGAGUAACACGUGGAUGAUCUACCUUUUAGUGGGGAAUACCGUUGGGAAACCGACGACAAUACCGCAUAAGCCCGAGAGGGGAAAGCCGAAAGGCGCUGAAAGAGGAGUCCGCGGUCGAUUAGUUAGUUGGCAGGGUAAAGGCCUACCAAGACUGUGAUCGANAGCCGGCCUGAGAGGGCACACGGCCACACUGGCACUGAAACACGGGCCAGACUCCUACGGGAGGCAGCAGUGGGGAAUCUUGCACAAUGGGGGAAACCCUGAUGCAGCGACGCCGCGUGAGCGAUGAAGCCCUUCGGGUGUAAGCUCUUUCGUCAGGGAAGAAUAAUGACGGUACCUGGAGAAGCAGCUGCGGCUAACUACGUGCCAGCCGCCGCAGUAAU
Molecule: ribosomal RNA, 459 nt
Filed under: uncultured bacterium
Lineage: Bacteria
Description: bacterial SSU rRNA
Rfam family: Bacterial small subunit ribosomal RNA
Source: RNAcentral